UCGGGCCGGCCGGUCGGGACGGUCCGGCGUGCCGCUCGUGACGGCGCCGGUCGGGCCGGUCGCGCCGGUCGGGCCGGA
Molecule: transfer RNA, 78 nt
Filed under: Nocardioides deserti
Lineage: Bacteria; Bacillati; Actinomycetota; Actinomycetes; Propionibacteriales; Nocardioidaceae
Description: tRNA-Thr
Source: RNAcentral